Molecule: long non-coding RNA, 224 nt
Organism: Carassius auratus (goldfish)
Lineage: Eukaryota; Metazoa; Chordata; Actinopteri; Cypriniformes; Cyprinidae
Exons: 3
Source: RefSeq, a predicted model, not a curated record
CUUCUCAGGCUGAAGACCAGCCCAGCGCAGCAGUGUCUAGUGCCUCUAGACCAAGCACUACAGUCUCUACACCAGAUCCUACAGUUCCAACCCCUGUCCCCAGAGCCACUGCAGAUGUGUCCAAUCCCGCUCAGCCAUGCAGGACCGUCUCUACUGCUCCUUCUGGGGCAUUAUUGCAAGGUCCAUCUGUAGUUCAACUUCCUCGUUUGUGGUCUGAGACCAUA